ACAACACAAGCAAUAACAACAACAAAAGCAAUACGCUCGUAUUCAAAAAUAUAAACAAUGCAAGUGAAAUAAACACACUCAAAACAGUACAUAAUGAAAAAACUUUUAGUUCUUUAUGUAAUAUCACAAACGAAACCGAUAAUGAUCAACGAGGUUCAUGUUCUCCCAAUUUCCCUGAAGUACAUAAUAGUAGUAGCAAUAUUACUAAGCCUAAUCAAACUAAUGCAAAUACACUGAAUGUCACAACGGAUGAAACAAACUGUAAUAAGAAAGAGUAUUCCAAUAACAAUAUGAUUCAGCAAACGGUUGUAUAUCCGAACGCAAAUAGUAUAACUAGUGACACAAACAGAGAGUACAAUAUGAAUAGACAUGUAAAACAAAAGGAAGAGUAUCAUAAAAGUGAGUACCCUUUUGAUAACAGUUUUGAAUAUUAUGAUACGUUAAAGAAUAGCCAACAAGAGCUAGAAAAAAAUAAUAAUAAUUAUUAUUUUUCUCCUGACCAGUAUAAUAACAAGUAUGUAAUGCCAAUGUCAAACAGUUUAGAUAGCUAUGACAUCUCUAGUCAUACUUAUACCCAACCACAAUAUUUUAAUCAGUCACAAUAUUACAACCAACCACAAUAUGUUAAUCAGUCACAAUAUUACAACCAACCACAAAAUUUUAAUCAAAAUAUAUUUGGAUUAAGUUCUACUGAAAUGAACACAAAUACAGAAGCGGGAAAAGCAGACAAUAAUGUGGAUACAUAUAAUAAAAACUGUGGGUCAUAUAAUAUUAAUAAAAUGUAUUCUUAUGCUAGUAAUAACAGCAUGGGUACAGCUAAUUAUGUUUAUAUGGAUACACCUAUACCAAUUAAAACAGACAAUACGUAUAAACUGGGAGGGUUAACUGAUAACGUAGUAAAAGUCAAUUCAAAGUAUGAUACUUCUAUAUAUAGUUCUAAUGAUAGUGCCUAUUCUUUUUCAUCUAAAAGCCAAAGCGAAUUAAACAAAAAUAGUGAUAUUUUAACUAUUGAUCACAUAAACGAUGAAACGGGGAACCAUUCUGAAAUACAAAAUACUAAUUGUUCUUUAAAACCAUCAAACCUAUAUUACAAUUAUGAAAAUAGUAAUCAUAAUAUUUCAACUGUAAAGGAAGAACAAAAACAGACACACACAAAGUCAAUAGAUCCAAAUCAUUCAAAUGAAGUAUGUGUGAAUGCCAUUAACAGUGCCAGUGCCAAUGGCAAUACCAAUGACAAUGCCAUUGAGAGUUUAAACAGCACUGCUAGUAUGAAUUUUCUUUUAUCGAGUUUACAUUCAUCCAAUAGUAACAAUAAUAAAAGCGAUACCAAUGCCGAUCCUAAAUCAAUCGAUAAUAGUAUUAUACAGUAUCAUAAUAAUAUAAAGAAGUUAAUAAACAAACAUAUGAUAAUGUUGAAACAA
This 1421-nucleotide long non-coding RNA is filed under the name Piliocolobus tephrosceles (Ugandan red Colobus). Its description in RNAcentral is "lncRNA (ENSPTEG00000019087.1)". The record is from RNAcentral. Lineage: Eukaryota; Metazoa; Chordata; Mammalia; Primates; Cercopithecidae.